Molecule: ribosomal RNA, 392 nt
Filed under: uncultured bacterium
Lineage: Bacteria
Description: bacterial SSU rRNA
Rfam family: Bacterial small subunit ribosomal RNA
Source: RNAcentral
GAUGAACGCUAGCGGCAGGCUUAAUACAUGCAAGUCGAGGGGCAGCACAGUGUAGCAAUACAUGGGUGGCGACCGGCAAACGGGUGCGUAACACGUACACAACUUACCCUUUACUGGGGGAUAGCCCAGGGAAACUUGGAUUAAUACCCCAUAUUGCAAAUGACCGGCAUCGGUUGUUUGCCAAAGUUCCGACGGUAAAGGAUGGGUGUGCGGUUGAUUAGGUAGUUGGCGGGGUAACGGCCCACCAAGCCUGCGAUCAAUAGCUGAUGUGAGAGCAUGAUCAGCCACACGGGCACUGAGACACGGGCCCGACUCCUACGGGAGGCAGCAGUAAGGAAUAUUGGGCAAUGGACGCAAGUCUGACCCAGCCAUGCCGCGUGAAGGAUGAAGGU